RNAcentral lists this RNase P RNA (349 nucleotides) under Coriobacteriia bacterium. RNAcentral describes it as "RNase P RNA component class A". It matches the Rfam family "Bacterial RNase P class A". Rfam says of the family: Ribonuclease P (RNase P) is a ubiquitous endoribonuclease, found in archaea, bacteria and eukarya as well as chloroplasts and mitochondria. Its best characterised activity is the generation of mature 5'-ends of tRNAs by cleaving the 5'-leader elements of precursor-tRNAs. The record is from RNAcentral. Lineage: Bacteria; Bacillati; Actinomycetota; Coriobacteriia.
UGAGUAAGCUAAACGGCUGCGCUUGCACUCGUGCAAGUGAGGAAAGUCGGGGCUCCACAGGGUAGAGUGCCUGUUAGAUGCAGGGCGCGGCGACGCGAUGGAUCAGUGCCACAGAAAAGAAAACUCCCCGCCUUCAAACGCGGAGAAAAGCUGAAACGGUGCGGUAAGAGCGCACCAGCGUCUCAGCAAUGAGGCGGCUUGGUAAACCCCACUCGGAGCAAGAGCAAAUAGGUGUGAUUAAGACCGACCCGGUCGGCACACGGGUAUGUUCGCUUGAGGCGCGUGGCGACGCGCGUCCCAGAUAAAUAGUCGUUCACGACAGAACCCCGCUUAUCGGCUUACUCAACCU